CUCAUUUGUUUCAACGGAGUAAUGUGAGCUGGCGUGUAAACUGGGGUAAGACAACGGUUUGUGCUAACCUAUUAAUAUAAGAAAUUACACAUAUAUUCUCCUAAAGAAAAUUGACCACGGUUUUAUUACAGUAAAAGUGUAGUUAUCACUUUUUGGGCGUAUUGUGCACCAUUUGUACUACCAUACUUGUACUUCAAACACCGUGGUUAAACAGUGUAGGGGCUGUAAGGGUUGCCAUGACACUAUUUAGAAGUUUUUUGAAAAGUCACAUGUCCACAGCUGCGUGCUUUACAAACAACGCAGCGCUUAGGUUCAUUCCCGCUUCCGUUUUCCUUGCCUAGGAAAGGACAACUGCCUUCAGAGGUGGCGACAUCUACAUCUACCCCACCGCCUUAUUUCAAGUUUCCUUUGUUGCGAGAACAGCCAAACUCGGAAUAAGCAAGUGUGUGGGAGCGAUGUCAGAAGCGGGGCCCAGCUGGUGUCAUAUCCUUCAUGAACUAUAAAAGCCUUCAACAUCCACCCUGCUGCGUAACUUCACCACAGUGCCUGUGUCCCAAAAUCACCUCUGAAUGCUUCUCCUCCAUUUAUCUCCUUCAUUAAUCAUUCCUCUUUAUUGGAUUUUCUCUCAUCCUCUCUCUUUUUAAACUAAAUAAUCCCAACCACUUCACACACGGUACUCAUGGCUGGGUGAAAACCGUGUCUGGCAGCCCAAGGAUACAGUCAUAGAUUUUCUGGGUGUAGUGUUUACUGUUAAUGUUCUUAUAGUGCAGCAAAUAUGUGUGUGUUGAACCCUAAUUAUGUAUAUAAAACCUUCCUUUGAAUGUGUGAGCAUAAAGUUGUACAC
Long non-coding RNA from Puntigrus tetrazona (Sumatra barb), 844 nucleotides. RefSeq lists it as uncharacterized. The record is from RefSeq and is a predicted model, not a curated record. Lineage: Eukaryota; Metazoa; Chordata; Actinopteri; Cypriniformes; Cyprinidae. The transcript is spliced from 3 exons.